Molecule: long non-coding RNA, 1073 nt
Filed under: Phoenix dactylifera (date palm)
Lineage: Eukaryota; Viridiplantae; Streptophyta; Magnoliopsida; Arecales; Arecaceae
Description: long non-coding RNA (PDAC_LNC016081)
Source: RNAcentral
UACUUGUUUGUGUUACUCAGUGGUGUAAUCCUGGAUUGAUUGAUCAUACACUCGCCGCAAGUACUGCCAUUUGAUCUGUCGAUCCUUCUCGUGGUCGUUUAGGUAGAAUUGUUUCUUGAUAGUCUUUAAAUGUGCUCUAUGUCAUAUUAGAAAUGUUAUGAUCCUUAUAUACGAAUUUCACCAGGUAAGUGCAUGGCUAAAAGUUUGAGGUGGACGAAAGCUACCUCUUGAAUACUGGUGUAUCCGUAAAUAGUGAAAUAUGUCUUUUACUGGUGUAGCCAGUUAUUUAGCUUUUUUGCAUCGACAACUCUAUUGUAUUUAGGGAUCUCGAUUUGAGAAGAGUUGAAAGAGGAAUUUUGAGUACCUAUAGGUUGCUCAUCUUCCUCAAUGGAUGGUGGAUUUUCAUCCUCAGACAUAAGAGAUAGCUUUGCAACAGUUGUAGCUGGUGCUUGUGUUGAAAGCAUCACCAAUCGGAAGAUGAUAUCGAUGCGUUGGAAAAUCUUUUUCUCUAGUUAUGUGAGGUGUCCCUUUGGCUCAUUAUCCAUUGAGGAAGAACUAGCACUCAUACUCGUCUUUGCCCUUCGGUGUACUUGAAGCACAAAUAGCCUUUCUCCUGAUUGCUUGUAUUGCUCGCGCAUCUGAAUCAUAAACUUAGGCCCCUAUAGAUGUAGAGGACCAAAGCUCUGAUACCAACUUGAUCCGAUCGGAGAGAAGUUUUUUCUCAACCCGCUCAACUCGAAUUUCUCCAAAGAAAAAUUUAGAAGAUGGAAGAAUUACGAAAGUAGGGCUUAAGCUCCCUUUUCUUUCAUUAAUGAUAUAAACUUUUAUUUAUAAUGGUGAGGUCCGCCCUUGCACAAUUCGGGUCGGGUUCCUCUUUCUAAUUCUAAUAGGACUUUCUUUCCUAAAAUAGAUAUGACUAGUAGAAGUAAACUUGAAGAAGUUAAAAUUUUUCAAAAGGUAGAUCUCAAUUUCUACAUCAACUCUACUUUCUGUCGCUCCGCUUGAUUCUUCUCAAUUGAAGAUAUGCACGAUCAAAGUCUUUUCCGAAAAUAAAAAUUUUGAUUUGACCGGUC